This 745-nucleotide ribosomal RNA is filed under the name uncultured bacterium. RNAcentral describes it as "bacterial SSU rRNA". It matches the Rfam family "Bacterial small subunit ribosomal RNA", at positions 22 to 743 of the family's 1533-position model. The record is from RNAcentral.
GCUCAGAACGAACGCUGGCGGCGUGCCUAACACAUGCAAGUCGAACGUGAUCCGCCCUUCGGGGUGGUGAAAGUGGCGCACGGGUGAGUAACGCGUGGACAAUCUGCCCGAGGAUUUGGGAUAACAUCUCGAAAGGGGUGCUAAUACCGAAUAAGCCCACGGGGUCUACGGAUCUUGCGGGAAAAGGGGGGGACCUUCGGGCCUCCUGUCCUUGGAUGAGUCUGCGUACCAUUAGCUAGUUGGUGGGGUAAUGGCCUACCAAGGCGACGAUGGUUAGCUGGUCUGAGAGGAUGAUCAGCCACACUGGAACUGAGACACGGUCCAGACUCCUACGGGAGGCAGCAGUGGGGAAUUUUGCGCAAUGGGGGAAACCCUGACGCAGCAACGCCGCGUGGGUGAUGAAGGCCUUCGGGUCGUAAAGCUCUGUCUGGAGGGAAGAAAUGAUUGGGAGCUAAUACCUCUUGAUCUUGACGGUACCUCUGAAGGAAGCACCGGCUAACUCCGUGCCAGCAGCCGCGGUAAUACGGAGGGUGCAAGCGUUGUUCGGAAUUAUUGGGCGUAAAGCGCGUGUAGGCGGUCUUUUAAGUCUGAUGUGAAAGCCCCGGGCUCAACCUGGGAAGUGCAUUGGAAACUGGGAGGCUUGAGUACGGGAGAGGAGAGUGGAAUUCCUAGUGUAGGAGUGAAAUCCGUAGAUAUUAGGAGGAACACCCGGUGGCGAAGGCGGCUCUUCUGGACCCCGAUACUA